CAGUCGCCACGGGAAUACGUAGGUGGCAAGCGUUGUCCGGAAUUAUUGGGCGUAAAGCGCGCGCAGGUGGUUUAAUAAGUCUGAUGUGAAAGCCCACGGCUCAACCGUGGAGGGUCAUUGGAAACUGUUAAACUUGAGUGCAGGAGAGAAAAGUGGAAUUCCUAGUGUAGCGGUGAAAUGCGUAGAGAUUAGGAGGAACACCAGUGGCGAAGGCGGCUUUUUGGCCUGUAACUGACACUGAGGCUCGAAAGCGUGGGGAGCAAACAGGAUUAGAUACCCGUGUAGUCCCUGUCUCUUAUAC
RNAcentral lists this ribosomal RNA (301 nucleotides) under uncultured bacterium. Its description in RNAcentral is "partial 16S ribosomal RNA". It matches the Rfam family "Bacterial small subunit ribosomal RNA", at positions 509 to 807 of the family's 1533-position model. The record is from RNAcentral.